RNAcentral lists this microRNA precursor (103 nucleotides) under Marmota monax (woodchuck). Lineage: Eukaryota; Metazoa; Chordata; Mammalia; Rodentia; Sciuridae. The record is from RNAcentral.
AGUGAGAUAGCGGAGUCAAAUGGUGAUUCCAUUACAAGUUUUCUGAGUAACCUCCAUACUGCUUUCCAAAAUGGUUGCACCAAUUUGCAGUUCCACCAGCAAU